GAUGAACGCCGGCGGCGUGCCUAAUACAUGCAAGUCGAGCGAACAGACGAGGAGCUUGCUCCUCUGACGUUAGCGGCGGACGGGUGAGUAACACGUGGAUAACCUACCUAUAAGACUGGGAUAACUUCGGGAAACCGGAGCUAAUACCGGAUAAUAUAUUGAACCGCAUGGUUCAAUAGUGAAAGACGGUUUUGCUGUCACUUAUAGAUGGAUCCGCGCCGCAUUAGCUAGUUGGUAAGGUAACGGCUUACCAAGGCAACGAUGCGUAGCCGACCUGAGAGGGUGAUCGGCCACACUGGAACUGAGACACGGUCCAGACUCCUACGGGAGGCAGCAGUAGGGAAUCUUCCGCAAUGGGCGAAAGCUUGACGGAGCAACGCCGCGUGAGUGAUGAAGGUCUUCGGAUCGUAAAACUCUGUUAUUAGGGAAGAACAAAUGUGUAAGUAACUAUGCACGUCUUGACGGUACCUAAUCAGAAAGCCACGGCUAACUACGUG
Molecule: ribosomal RNA, 497 nt
Filed under: uncultured bacterium
Lineage: Bacteria
Description: partial 16S ribosomal RNA
Rfam family: Bacterial small subunit ribosomal RNA
Source: RNAcentral